AUGGCUUUAUGGAUUUCUUGUGACUGUGGUGAGAAUAAUGACAAAUGGAUUGUGGCGGCACCAGGUGACAGAGACAAAAAAGUUAUUAUCCUUUCGAGCAAAGCUGAGUGCAUCUCCUUGAUGUUCAACAGAAUUCCUAUCAGGUUUAAUCUUGAUCCAUUAAAAUUGAGGAUCUUGUGCCUUCGGAACAACGAAUUUGAUGAAAGCUUAAUUGUUGAAGAAAUUAAGAAUUCCAGUUCACUGACAUAUCUGGAUUUGAGCGGAAACAACCUCAAGGGGAUACCGGAAGAAUUAUGUUCCUUGGUAAAGCUGGAAUACCUUGAUUUGUCGGAAAAUCAAUUUGGGGAAACUGAAGUGCCUCCCUCCUUUGGAAACCUCAUCAACCUCAAGUUCUUGUACCUAAAGUCUGGUAUUGGUUCCGUGAGAAUACCAGCUGGGGUCAUGUCUAGCCUUAAAGCAUUGCAGGUAAUAGACUUGAGAAGUUUCUUAAGAAAAUGUACCCAAUUCCUAUACCGAGAGUUGGGCACCCUAUCUCAGUUGAAAGCGCUUGGUAUUUUGGUCCGAGAUUUAGCUCAGUUUGAGUCACUAGGAGAAGCGGAUAGCCUCCCUGUUAGAUAUUUGGCUCUGAAUGACGUAUGUGCACUCACUCGUAUUUUAUCAAUGGACUUUGCACGAAGGACCUUGUAUGAAGUGGAUAUCAAUGAAUUGGAUAUUAAUGAAGAAUUUGACACUCGAGAAAUAACAGUAGUACAACAUGACACGGAACAACCAAACAACCAUUUUGGUGCUCUCAACAAACUCAGCUUAACUUUUAUGAGAUCCUUGAGAGAGAUAAAGUGGAUGGGAGCAACUCCGGCAUUUAUAUUCCAAAGGCUCACUUAUUUGGAAUUGUUUUUGUGCCAACAGCUAUUGCACCUCUCUUGGGUUAUGUAUUUGCCUCGCCUUGAACAACUUCAUAUAAUUUCCUGUGAUGGUAUGGUGCAAGCAUUUAUGAGGUGCCACGGUGACAAAUUGUGCAAUGGACAGGACAAGACAAAAACAUUUCCUCGCCUCAAGCUUCUCGUUCUUAUUUAUACCAAAUCGUUGGAAACUAUUGGGGACAACGGUAUGAAAUUCCCAUCCCUAGAGCGACUUGAGCUUGAAGGUAGUCUGGCAUUGAAGAGGCUUCCUUUCUGGUCGGACAGUUUGCCUCCAAAGCUGAAGGAGGUACGGUUUGAUGAUGCUCGAUGCUGGGAGAGACUGGAAUGCGAAGAAGGUGUCAAAACUAUCCUGCAACCCUAUCUUAAUUUUGGCAGACGAUAUCAGGGUUAA
RNAcentral lists this ribosomal RNA (1311 nucleotides) under Triticum aestivum (bread wheat). RNAcentral describes it as "partial small subunit ribosomal RNA". The record is from RNAcentral. Lineage: Eukaryota; Viridiplantae; Streptophyta; Magnoliopsida; Poales; Poaceae.